AGGAUAAUAGUUAAAUUUAACAUUUAAUUUGCACUUAAAAAAUAUUGAAAUAUCAAUUUAUCUU
This 64-nucleotide transfer RNA is filed under the name Cortodera humeralis. RNAcentral's name for it is "tRNA-Ala". Lineage: Eukaryota; Metazoa; Arthropoda; Insecta; Coleoptera; Cerambycidae. The record is from RNAcentral.